GGUUAAGCGACUAAGCGUACACGGUGGAUGCCCUGGCAGUCAGAGGCGAUGAAGGACGUGCUAAUCUGCGAUAAGCGUCGGUGAGGUGAUAUGAACCGUUAUAACCGGCGAUUUCCGAAUGGGGAAACCCAGUGUGAUUCGUCACACUAUCAUUAACUGAA
Molecule: ribosomal RNA, 161 nt
Filed under: Escherichia coli
Lineage: Bacteria; Pseudomonadati; Pseudomonadota; Gammaproteobacteria; Enterobacterales; Enterobacteriaceae
Description: partial 23S ribosomal RNA
Rfam family: Bacterial large subunit ribosomal RNA
Source: RNAcentral